This 389-nucleotide ribosomal RNA is filed under the name uncultured bacterium. RNAcentral describes it as "bacterial SSU rRNA". It matches the Rfam family "Bacterial small subunit ribosomal RNA", at positions 28 to 411 of the family's 1533-position model. The record is from RNAcentral.
GACGAACGCUGGCGGCGUGCCUAACACAUGCAAGUGGAGCGACGAACCGGGCUUCGGCCCGGGGCCAAGCCGCGAACGGGUGAGUAACACGUGGGUAACCUGCCCUGAUGAUUGGGACAACCCGAGGAAACUCGGGCUAAUACCGAAUGUGCCCUCCGACCAUAAGGUCUGCGGGGAAAGGAAGCUUCGGCCUCCGCAUCGGGAUGGGCCCGCGGCGCAUUAGCUUGUUGGUGAGGUAACGGCUCACCAAGGCGACGAUGCGUAGCUGGUCUGAGAGGACGAUCAGCCACACUGGGACUGAGACACGGCCCAGACUCCUACGGGAGGCAGCAGUGGGGAAUCUUGCGCAAUGCGCGAAAGCGUGACGCAGCAACGCCGCGUGGGGAAGA